AUACAGAGGGUGCGAGCGUUAAUCGGAAUUACUGGGCGUAAAGCGCGCGUAGGCGGUCUAUUAAGUCAGAUGUGAAAUCCCAGGGCUCAACCUUGGAACUGCAUCUGAUACUGGUAGACUAGAGUUUUGGAGAGGGAAGUAGAAUUUCAGGUGUAGCGGUGAAAUGCAUAGAGAUCUGAAGGAAUACCAGUGGCGAAGGCGACUUCCUGGCCAAAAACUGACGCUGAGGUGCGAAAGCGUGGGUAGCAAACGGGAAUAGAAACCCUAGUAGUCC
Molecule: ribosomal RNA, 274 nt
Filed under: uncultured bacterium
Lineage: Bacteria
Description: partial 16S ribosomal RNA
Rfam family: Bacterial small subunit ribosomal RNA
Source: RNAcentral